Molecule: long non-coding RNA, 417 nt
Organism: Vitis riparia (riverbank grape)
Lineage: Eukaryota; Viridiplantae; Streptophyta; Magnoliopsida; Vitales; Vitaceae
Exons: 2
Source: RefSeq, a predicted model, not a curated record
UAGUCGGCCUUUAUUCCAGAAUUAUACCAAGAGGGUGGACAGAAGUGUACUCAAGGCAGUACAUUCUAUGCUGCAAAGAUGUCUCCUGUCCUGCUCAGCUCUCUGUUUGAAUCCAGGUUAAAAUGAAAGGUCAUGCCGACUGCUUAAUCAACAUGGAAGAGAGCAUUUCUAGAGGAUUGAUGGAGUAGAAUGAAGGUCAAGAACUGAGGACCUGGAAACUCUUAGAGCACUUCAGAAAAGGGCUUUGUUUCAGAUUUGGGGCUUGGGACGAGUUUUCUGGCACAUGGGAGAUCAACUUCUUUUGUUUGCUGAAUUUGUUAAUGUAAAUAGAAUCAAGAUUUUCAUAGAUUAGUUGUUCAAGGCAUGCCCAAGAAGUAAUUGAUGUUCUUAAUAGUUAAAAAGAGGUUUUGGCAUUUA